UCCAAUGAUUAAUAUACCAACAUGUUAUAGGAGAUUUUACACAAAUUCUGGACAUUCUUAUAUAUGUUGUUUUCUCAGGUCAAUAUCAUACAUAAAAGAUGAUUAGUACUGUGUAGAAUUCUUCAUUUAUAUGGCAUCUCAGCCAAAAUGAAGACUAUGGAGACAAGAGGAAGUAAUGAUGAUGCAUGUGGUUCAUGAAGUGACUUUUUCCAAUAUGACUUUCUCUCCCUCCCUGAGAUUCAGAAAAGGAGUUACAAAUUUUCUGAAAAUAUGUUUGAUUGAUUUUGGCAUGACUUGUGUUGGGAAGGAGCUUGUUAAAGAUGCUGCCAAAAUUGCUAAAGGUUUAUGUUCGCUCGACUGGAGGUAGAUUCGUCCAAUGUUUUUCCCCACAAAUCCGAAUUUUGUCUGGGGAAUCUCCACGCCUCUGCAGACAGAUCCUACACAAUAGUCAAGAUACAUUCAUCCUAUAUUUGACACAUUCAGAAAAGGAGCAUCCCAACCAUUCAAGGAACAAAAGAGAGCCAUGUUGGCAAGAUUAAAGAGUUUAGUUAAUUAAGCAUCGCAGCAGUCUAUCUAUUUUUGUCAGUGACACUACAACUCCGUCUUUUUGUUGAUUUAUGUUAGGUAUCACUAAUAGUUUACUGAUAAAUGGUUAUGUCGCUCGAGUUGAGCCGUCCUGUUAAGUUGUACUCAAGUUUUUUGUGAGAUUUUGUUUGUUUUAAAUUGGAUGUUUCAAAAAUUAUGUUUGAUUCCUGGUCGGUGCAUAUGGAGAAGCAUAAUUUGUUGGGAGAGGUCAAUCCAUUAAAUAGAUUUCAGUUACCUCGAGGAAAAUAUCUACUUGUUCCAAAAACUUUCAGUCGGGCAAAUACCAACGCCCAAACCACCACUCAGCCGGAGUGCUCAUCCCCAUAUGUUUUUCCAACCGCAUCAUCAAUAAGCAUUAAUCUUUGAUUCUUGAGACAAAUUCUCUAUAUAUCUUAUCUUACUAUGGAAAAGUAAAACCUAGCUAAUAGUUAAUAAGAAUGAAAUACUAAUGCAAAAAGUUCAGAAUUUUUUAUGUCGCGGGAACUAUGGCAUAGUAAAUUAAAAGCCAAAAUAUAGGACUCAAUUUAGUGAAAUGUCAGUUGUUAGAUUAAAGCCAACCAAAGAUUAUGUAAACAGUCUAUGAGUCCUUGACAGUUGCAACAAAAAUACUUUCAACCCGAAUUAAUGGAAAGGCUAAAUUGCACUUUUGGCCGCCUAAUUGUCAGAAAGUUGCGAUUUUGGUCCCCUAUAUUUCAAAAUAGCACUUUUGUCCCCCUAUAUUUACCCUUUUUGGUCCUUAUGUUUCAAAAUCGCAACUUUCUGAAACUUAGGGGACCAAAAGUGCAAUUUAACCUAUAUAAAAAACACUUGUAAUGAAUGAAAUUAAUAACCAGUUAAACCUGAAGGUGUUUAUAGUAGACCAUUCUUCUGCUAUAUAGUUACAAAUAUUAGGAAAUUUUUAAUAAAAGUGUGUAGUUAAAAA
This is a long non-coding RNA of Trifolium pratense (red clover), 1507 nucleotides long. RefSeq lists it as uncharacterized. NCBI's taxonomy places the organism in Eukaryota, Viridiplantae, Streptophyta, Magnoliopsida, Fabales, Fabaceae. The record is from RefSeq and is a predicted model, not a curated record. The transcript is spliced from 4 exons.